Molecule: ribosomal RNA, 315 nt
Filed under: Pseudomonas sp. KOA1
Lineage: Bacteria; Pseudomonadati; Pseudomonadota; Gammaproteobacteria; Pseudomonadales; Pseudomonadaceae
Description: bacterial SSU rRNA
Rfam family: Bacterial small subunit ribosomal RNA
Source: RNAcentral
AAAUGGCGAGACUACCAUGCAGUCGAGCGGAUGACGGGAGCUUGCUCCUUGAUUCAGCGGCGGACGGGUGAGUAAUGCCUAGGAAUCUGCCUGGUAGUGGGGGACAACGUUUCGAAAGGAACGCUAAUACCGCAUACGUCCUACGGGAGAAAGCAGGGGACCUUCGGGCCUUGCGCUAUCAGAUGAGCCUAGGUCGGAUUAGCUAGUUGGUGGGGUAAUGGCUCACCAAGGCGACCAUCCGUAACUGGUCUGAGAGGAUGAUCAGUCACACUGGAACUGAGACACGGUCCAGACUCCUACGGGAGGCAGCCAGUG